AUUUGUUGCGGACAGAUAAAGUGGAUGUGUGCAUCGAUACCUCCCGCAGUCAGAAUCUGUCCUUCCCCUGCUAUCGCUUCGGUACCCGGCCCAACGACGAUAUCUACAUUAGCCUGGGUAUCGGGAUUCCCCGCCUUACCAAUACCUACUAUUCGACCUGCUUUAAUACCUACGUCCGCUUUGACGAUACCCCAGUAAUCAACAAUAAGCGCAUUAGUGAUCACGGUGUCCACAGUUUCGCUGGAUGGUCGCUGAGACUGACCCAUACCGUCCC
Molecule: small RNA, 274 nt
Filed under: marine eukaryotic metagenome
Description: 5' ureB small RNA
Rfam family: 5' ureB small RNA
Source: RNAcentral